CCUACGGGAGGCAGCCGUGGGGGAUAUUGCACAAUGGGGGAAACCCUGAUGCAGCGACGCCGCGUGGGCGAAGAAGUAUUUCGGUAUGUAAAGCCCUAUCAGCAGGGAAGACGAAAUGACGGUACCUGAGUAAGCAGCACCGGCUAAAUACGUGCCAGCAGCCGCGGUAAUACGUAUGGUGCAAGCGUUAUCCGGAUUUACUGGGUGUAAAGGGAGCGCAGGCGGCACGGCAAGCCUGAUGUGAAAGCCCGGGGCGCAACCGCGGGACUGCAUUGGGAACUAGCGGGCUGGAGUGCCGGAGAGGUAGGCGGAAUUCCUAGUGUAGCGGGGAAAUGCGUAGAUAUUAGGAGGAACACCAGUGGCGAAGGCGGCCUACUGGACGGUGACUGACGCUGAGGCUCGAAAGCGUGGGGAGCAAACAGGAUUAGAUACCCUAGUAGUC
This 442-nucleotide ribosomal RNA is filed under the name uncultured bacterium. RNAcentral describes it as "partial 16S ribosomal RNA". It matches the Rfam family "Bacterial small subunit ribosomal RNA", at positions 338 to 795 of the family's 1533-position model. The record is from RNAcentral.